GGGUUGUGAGGUUAAGCGACUAAGCGUACACGGUGGAUGCCCUGGCAGUCAGAGGCGAUGAAGGACGUGCUAAUCUGCGAUAAGCGUCGGUAAGGUGAUAUGAACCGUUAUAACCGGCGAUUUCCGAAUGGGGAAACCCAGUGUGAUUCGACACACUAUCAUUAACUGAAUCCAUAGGUUAAUGAGGCGAACCGGGGGAACUGAAACAUCUAAGUACCCCGAGGAAAAGAAAUCAACCGAGAUUCCCCCAGUAGCGGCGAGCGAACGGGGAGCAGCCCAGAGCCUGAAUCAGUGUGUGUGUUAGUGGAAGCGUCUGGAAAGGCGCGCGAUACAGGGUGACAGCCCCGUACACAAAAAUGCACAUGCUGUGAGCUCGAUGAGUAGGGCGGGACACGUGGUAUCCUGUCUGAAUAUGGGGGGACCAUCCUCCAAGGCUAAAUACUCCUGACUGACCGAUAGUGAACCAGUACCGUGAGGGAAAGGCGAAAAGAACCCCGGCGAGGGGAGUGAAAAAGAACCUGAAACCGUGUACGUACAAGCAGUGGGAGCACGCUUAGGCGUGUGACUGCGUACCUUUUGUAUAAUGGGUCAGCGACUUAUAUUCUGUAGCAAGGUUAACCGAAUAGGGGAGCCGAAGGGAAACCGAGUCUUAACUGGGCGUUAAGUUGCAGGGUAUAGACCCGAAACCCGGUGAUCUAGCCAUGGGCAGGUUGAAGGUUGGGUAACACUAACUGGAGGACCGAACCGACUAAUGUUGAAAAAUUAGCGGAUGACUUGUGGCUGGGGGUGAAAGGCCAAUCAAACCGGGAGAUAGCUGGUUCUCCCCGAAAGCUAUUUAGGUAGCGCCUCGUGAAUUCAUCUCCGGGGGUAGAGCACUGUUUCGGCAAGGGGGUCAUCCCGACUUACCAACCCGAUGCAAACUGCGAAUACCGGAGAAUGUUAUCACGGGAGACACACGGCGGGUGCUAACGUCCGUCGUGAAGAGGGAAACAACCCAGACCGCCAGCUAAGGUCCCAAAGUCAUGGUUAAGUGGGAAACGAUGUGGGAAGGCCCAGACAGCCAGGAUGUUGGCUUAGAAGCAGCCAUCAUUUAAAGAAAGCGUAAUAGCUCACUGGUCGAGUCGGCCUGCGCGGAAGAUGUAACGGGGCUAAACCAUGCACCGAAGCUGCGGCAGCGACGCUUAUGCGUUGUUGGGUAGGGGAGCGUUCUGUAAGCCUGCGAAGGUGUGCUGUGAGGCAUGCUGGAGGUAUCAGAAGUGCGAAUGCUGACAUAAGUAACGAUAAAGCGGGUGAAAAGCCCGCUCGCCGGAAGACCAAGGGUUCCUGUCCAACGUUAAUCGGGGCAGGGUGAGUCGACCCCUAAGGCGAGGCCGAAAGGCGUAGUCGAUGGGAAACAGGUUAAUAUUCCUGUACUUGGUGUUACUGCGAAGGGGGGACGGAGAAGGCUAUGUUGGCCGGGCGACGGUUGUCCCGGUUUAAGCGUGUAGGCUGGUUUUCCAGGCAAAUCCGGAAAAUCAAGGCUGAGGCGUGAUGACGAGGCACUACGGUGCUGAAGCAACAAAUGCCCUGCUUCCAGGAAAAGCCUCUAAGCAUCAGGUAACAUCAAAUCGUACCCCAAACCGACACAGGUGGUCAGGUAGAGAAUACCAAGGCGCUUGAGAGAACUCGGGUGAAGGAACUAGGCAAAAUGGUGCCGUAACUUCGGGAGAAGGCACGCUGAUAUGUAGGUGAAGCGACUUGCUCGUGGAGCUGAAAUCAGUCGAAGAUACCAGCUGGCUGCAACUGUUUAUUAAAAACACAGCACUGUGCAAACACGAAAGUGGACGUAUACGGUGUGACGCCUGCCCGGUGCCGGAAGGUUAAUUGAUGGGGUCAGCGCAAGCGAAGCUCUUGAUCGAAGCCCCGGUAAACGGCGGCCGUAACUAUAACGGUCCUAAGGUAGCGAAAUUCCUUGUCGGGUAAGUUCCGACCUGCACGAAUGGCGUAAUGAUGGCCAGGCUGUCUCCACCCGAGACUCAGUGAAAUUGAACUCGCUGUGAAGAUGCAGUGUACCCGCGGCAAGACGGAAAGACCCCGUGAACCUUUACUAUAGCUUGACACUGAACAUUGAGCCUUGAUGUGUAGGAUAGGUGGGAGGCUUUGAAGUGUGGACGCCAGUCUGCAUGGAGCCGACCUUGAAAUACCACCCUUUAAUGUUUGAUGUUCUAACGUUGACCCGUAAUCCGGGUUGCGGACAGUGUCUGGUGGGUAGUUUGACUGGGGCGGUCUCCUCCUAAAGAGUAACGGAGGAGCACGAAGGUUGGCUAAUCCUGGUCGGACAUCAGGAGGUUAGUGCAAUGGCAUAAGCCAGCUUGACUGCGAGCGUGACGGCGCGAGCAGGUGCGAAAGCAGGUCAUAGUGAUCCGGUGGUUCUGAAUGGAAGGGCCAUCGCUCAACGGAUAAAAGGUACUCCGGGGAUAACAGGCUGAUACCGCCCAAGAGUUCAUAUCGACGGCGGUGUUUGGCACCUCGAUGUCGGCUCAUCACAUCCUGGGGCUGAAGUAGGUCCCAAGGGUAUGGCUGUUCGCCAUUUAAAGUGGUACGCGAGCUGGGUUUAGAACGUCGUGAGACAGUUCGGUCCCUAUCUGCCGUGGGCGCUGGAGAACUGAGGGGGGCUGCUCCUAGUACGAGAGGACCGGAGUGGACGCAUCACUGGUGUUCGGGUUGUCAUGCCAAUGGCACUGCCCGGUAGCUAAAUGCGGAAGAGAUAAGUGCUGAAAGCAUCUAAGCACGAAACUUGCCCCGAGAUGAGUUCUCCCUGACUCCUUGAGAGUCCUGAAGGAACGUUGAAGACGACGACGUUGAUAGGCCGGGUGUGUAAGCGCAGCGAUGCGUUGAGCUAACCGGUACUAAUGAACCGUGAGGCUUAACCUUACAACGCCGAAGCUGUU
RNAcentral lists this ribosomal RNA (2930 nucleotides) under Escherichia coli. Its description in RNAcentral is "bacterial LSU rRNA". It matches the Rfam family "Bacterial large subunit ribosomal RNA". Lineage: Bacteria; Pseudomonadati; Pseudomonadota; Gammaproteobacteria; Enterobacterales; Enterobacteriaceae. The record is from RNAcentral.